UGGUGCAGUAGGCAGCAUGUUAGUCUCGAAAGCUGAGGAUCCUGAGUUAGAUCCUCAG
This 58-nucleotide transfer RNA is filed under the name Monodelphis domestica (gray short-tailed opossum). The record is from Rfam by way of RNAcentral. Lineage: Eukaryota; Metazoa; Chordata; Mammalia; Didelphimorphia; Didelphidae.